This is a long non-coding RNA of Hemicordylus capensis (graceful crag lizard), 4926 nucleotides long. RefSeq lists it as uncharacterized. The transcript has 2 exons. The record is from RefSeq and is a predicted model, not a curated record. NCBI's taxonomy places the organism in Eukaryota, Metazoa, Chordata, Lepidosauria, Squamata, Cordylidae.
AUAGUAGUACAUGAAGCCAUCACAUUAAGUUAUAUUUUGAAUUAAAUUGGAAGUUUUCUGAUUAAAGAACAUGCCAGAACUCCUGUUUUUCACAUCUUGCCAAAAAUACAUAAGGAAGGUUUUCCACCACCAGAAAGACCCAUCAUAUCUGGUAUCUGGUACUCCAUAUUGGAGCCAUUGGCACAAUAUUUAGACUCUUUUUUUUUUUUACAACUGUUUAUAGAGACCAGUCAAUCUUACAUUAAAGAUAUCAAACAUUUUGUUAGCAUUAUAGAGAAGAUUCAAUGUUUGGAAGACAUCAUAUUUAUCACUUUGGAUGUUAAUUCUCUGUAUACUUCCAUUCCCCAUGAAGGAGCAAGAUCAGUGAUAGAAAUUGUUUGUAACUCAAUUGUUUGUAACAUCCCCUGACUAAUUUUCUAAUAGAUAUUAAGUUAGAAAACAAAUAUUUUCAGUUUGAUGACAUAUAUUAUUUUCAGGUUAAAGGGGUAUCUAUGGGGAGCCCUGCAGUUCCCAGUUUUGCAUGGGAAUUUAUACAUGACUCAUCUGGAAACAGAUAUCAUUUUAAAUGGGGAUGCAAAUCCAUAUCUUCAACAUUUUCUAUAUUAUGGCCAUUCAUUGAUAAUAUUUUAAUUAUUUCUAAACCACACUGUCUAUUAUCAAUAUUUUUUAGAUCAAUACUAUACUGGAUUUUUUGGAUCAAUAUUGGAUCAAUACUAUAUAUGAACAUAGUAAGUUUUCCAGCCAUAUGGACACACAUUGGAUAUCCUUUUUGGAUGUAUUGGUAUAUAAAGGUAAAAGGUAAAGUUGUGCCUUUGAGUAGGUAUUAACAGUCAAAAUCAUGACAAAAAGAUAUCACAAACCUACAGACAGGAAUUCAGUUUUACAUUAUGAUUAUUUUCUCCCAAGACAUAUUAAAGACAAUAUACCAUUUGGUCAAUUUGCGAGACUGAAAAGGAAUUGCACAUCUUCUCAAUUGUUUCACCAACAAAGAGCUGUAUAUGCAUCCUCAUUAACAUCUAGAGGCUAUCCUAAGCAUGUCAUAGAGACAGCAAAGAAACCAUCAGAUGAAGUCUCCAGAUCCCAACUCUUUGAAAAACACCACGAUGACAAACGUAAGAGAGUUUAUUGGUCUCUUUAAUUUAGCUCCAAAGCUUGGGCCAUUAGACGAAUUAUUUUCAAACAUUGGCAUCUGAUUCAAGAUCUACCUGGGUGCACUUUACUUCAAUUUGUUGGAUAUCGUCGUUGUAACGAAUAGCCAUAACUCUUUCUUAUCUAUCUAUCUAUCUAUCUAUCUAUCUAUCUAUCUAUCUAUCUAUCUAAACUUCUAUACCGCCCAAAUUAUCAUCUCUGGGCAGUUAACAUAAAAACAAUUAAAACACAUAUAAAAGUUAAAACAAUGCAACAAUUUAAAAACAGCCAUAAAAUUAAAAAUAGACAAUUUUAAAAAGCUGGGAAAGCUUGGGUGAAAAGAUGGGUUUUCAGGUGUUUUUUAAAAAUUGCCAGAGAUGAGGAGGAUUGUAUCUCAGCAGGGAGCACAUUCCACAAUCUCAGGGCAGUGACCAAGAAGGCCCGUCUCUGUGUAGCCACCAAACGAGUUGGUGGUAACUGGAGACGGACUUCCUCAGAUACAGCUUAAAAGAUCCGUUAGUCCAUUCAGAUAUAUCUAGGACUCAAAUUAUUACUACAGAUGUAAGGGGACAUUGGAGAUGUGGACAUUGCGAAUGCCGUCACGAAUGCUUACCAACAAAAGAAUUCAUCAAUCCAGCUAAUGACAAGAAAAUUAUACUCAAGACUUUUACUACGUGUCAAUCCACAGAUGUUCUUUAUGCUAUUGUCUGUCCCUGUGGUCUUUUUUAAUGUAGGUCAUACUAGUAGACCUCUGACAGAACAUAAGAGUAAAAUUAACAUAACACCUUCCAUUGAAAUUCCCACUAUUGCAUCUCUAUUGUUCUGUUAAAAUUCUGCAUCCAUUUUAUCAUACAGUCUUUCACACGUUCUGAUUCUGAAUAAUGUUUCAGUAGUAAUUUGUAUAUAAGACCCAGCAAAUGCUUUGAAUUCUUUGUUAUUAGAGUUUCAAAUUCUGUCAAGUCUCAACUUUCCACCUUGCUUCCGCGGUUUCAUGUAGAUAUUAAAAGAACAUUGGAGACAGUAUGGAGCCUUGUGGAACUCCAUACUUCAGUUCUCGCUUUGCAGAGCAACAUUCUCCAAGGAACACCAUCUGGAAUCUACAAGAGAGAAUGGACAUACGGUGGAAGAAGACUUGUGGACUCCCAUGAAAAAGGAUCUAUUAUUCAGCAAGAAAUAUAAAGACGUUAUGAAGAACAAUUUGAACUUGAAAAAGUCUAUCGAAACAGCAAACAUAACUGGAAAGCUGUUGUUUACACACUCUGUCUGGAAAUAUUAUACUGUUCUAUUCUAUGUUCACAUUUAUAUUGUUGGUUGGAUGUUAUGUCUUAUUUACUCAUGUGAAUUAUUCAUACUAUACAUUUAUGUUUCACCUUGAAUUUGUAUUUAUAUAUUUAGUUAUAUGGGGUUUUUUUUGUCAUAUUGGAUCUGUUGGUUUAUUUUUACAUGUUGCUAGUAUCUGCCUUAUGUAAGUUUUUAGAUGGUGAGCCUUUGGGGGACAUGAGACCAUUUUAUUUACAUAUGUUUCUAUGUAAACUGCUUUGAGAACUUUGAAGAGCGGUAUAUAGAUAUUUGUUGUUGUUGUUGUGGAACCCCCAGAAGUGCCCCCUACUCCCCCACCUGUACCAAAGCCCUGACACCAGUGUUCCCUCUUAGGUGUGCAUGCACACAUGUGUUUUGAUGUGCGCUCAGUUAAUUUUAGAUUCUGCUCAGGUUUAAGCAGGAAGGUCCCACUCUGAAUGCAUAUGUGCACACACUGCCUUGGUACUUCUGCCCAGAACAAAACUCAUUCCACACACAGAAGAAAAGAAUUAGAGAGAACAACAUAGCUGCAAGUAGCUGGGCAACAACAGAAAAACUGUAGGGAAGGAGUCCAAAAGAAUAAAUUGGCCCCAGCCACCAAAGGCUGGCUCCCUUAGUUGGUUCCCUGCGCCCCUGGUGCUGCCCACCCUAAUAAGGGCCAGGAGUUCAAAAGCUCAACUGGUGUGGCUCUCACCCUCACCAAUCAGAAAGUCCAGCCCAGGUGCAAGGUAACACAAUUGGGGUGAGCUGAGCCACAGAUAGCAAGCAGCUUAUAUAGAGGAAGCUUCCGUAUAUUGAGUCAGACCAUUGGUCUAUCUAGCUCAGUAUUGUCUUCACAGACUGGAGGCGGCUUCUCCAAGGUUGCAGGCAGGAAUCUCUCUCAGCUCUGCCUUGGAGAAGCCAGGGAGGGAACUUGAAACCUUCUGCUCUUCCCAGAGGGACUCCAUCCCCUGAGAGGAAUAUCUUACAGUGCUCACACUUCUAGUCUCCCAUUCAUAUGCAACCAGGGCAGACCCUGCUUAGCUAAGGGGACAAGUCAUGCUUGCUACCACAAGACCAGCUCUCUUCUCUUGCAAAAGAGAGAAGAGCACAGGAGCCGCAGUCAGAGUCUAUGGCCUCAGGAGCACUUCACCCCAGCCACCACAUGCUUAUUGCAGACACAGACAUACAGUAUGUGGAAUGCCAUCAUGAGUACUGGUUUAUUAAAAGUUGUUCAUUUCAACAGCAUUUAGGAAUGACUGAGUUUCCAUAUCAUGGCACAGAUGAUGGGAGAAACACUUUAGGUUAGUCUUGGCAAGUAGGGAGGCACUAAAUCUUUUAUCAUUCAGGAGGCAAAGACCUGUCUCUUCAGCAGGACCCUUUUUUGGAGCACGGCGGAGGGCUGUUGGGUUUUCAUAAGUAUUGUUAGCUCUGAUUUGAAUUUUGGUUUUUAAAAAAAUAUUAAGUUUUAGCCAUCUCAUUAUCCACUCUGCUGCCUCUUACUGUUUUUCCGAUUAUAUGUUUGCACCAUAUAGACUUCUGUUGUAUCCUAUCUAACCUGUUUUCAGGGGCAGAGCCACCAUUGUGCGAAUGGGUUCAAAGAACUCGGGCCACCAAUGGGAAAGGCUGCUGAAGCCCACAGGGGGGCAUGGCUUGGGCUGAGUGAGCGAGUGAGCUCUCCCCCAUCCAUUUAAGGCGGCAUUUGCUGCCUGACAGCCUUUAUUUCUCUUUCUCUCCCUCCAGUCAGUGAGGGAGAGAAAGACAAAUAAAUGCUGUCAGGCAGCAAGCGCUACCUGACAUGGACAGGGGUGAGCCCAAGCCACGCUCCCGGGGCGUCACUAGAGGGGCUGCCAGGCAGGGCUGGACACAGGCUGCUGUUCACCUGGCUCCGCACUUGUUUGUCUCAGUAGGGAUCCUGUAGAGUGUGUGGUGGGUGGGAUCAGAAAGAGAGAGAGAGGGAAAGGAGAAGGAAAUGGAGUUGUUUCUUAACAGAGUUCUUGGUUAAAGCUGCAUAAGUUCUUUUGUGUUUACAAGAGAAGCAGUUAUAAAACAUUUGGCGAUGAGAUUUUGAACCAGCUGCACACGUGAGCUUGUGAAAACCCUCCCCUCUUCACCUCUUUGCAUUACUGGGCCUAAUAACCGAACUGCUGCAUUCUACCAUUGCUGCUGCUGAUGGUUUCUCCAGCUUCCUGACCUGCACAACCCCUGAAGGUACUUUUCUCUCUUAUCAGCCCAGGACUCUGUUGUUCAUUGGAUGCCUACUGCAGCAUGGCUCAAAUCCCACCACCAUCUUUUUCCCCCUGUCCACCCCCCACCAGAACUUGCUCUUCCCUGGAAACAAUGGAGGUCCUAUUUCUGCAAUUUUAGAUUGUGAGCCCUUUGGGGGCAGGGAUCCAUCUUAUUUAUUUAUUUGUUUAUUUAUUUAUUUAUUUAUUUAUUUUUUCCUCUGUGUAAACCAGCCUGAGCCAUUUUUGGAAGGGUGGCAUAGAAAUCAAAUAAAUAAUAAUAAUAACCUCCUUA